ACAUUUUACAAUUAAUACUCUCUAAUGUGUGAACUAGACUUUGGUUCUUUGUAUGAUGUAUCCAAUGUGAAAAGAAAACAAAAUAAUAAAAUAAAAAACUUGUGACGAAUGUAAAUUUGCUGUCACUAUCUUAGCUAAAUAAAAAAUCAAAAUAAUCAUUGUGUGAACAUCAUUGGUCACAUUAAAUAAUAAUUUAAUGUAAUAUUUUAACUCAAUAUCUCUACCACAAAACCAAUAAUUCUUCCAUCUAUAAAUACUCUUUCUUGCUUCUCAUUUUUCCUCCCCCUUCACCUUGCACCCUUUCAUUGAACUAUAUUGCUCUCUAACUUUUGCUUCUUCAUACCCUCCUCUUCCUUAAUCCUCUCAUCACUUCAUUCUUUUGUUUCUGGUAAGCAAAUGACUUCAACUACUCUUAUUAUUAUAUGCUCUUAUUCUUAAUGAUGACUCAUUAAAAAGAAAAAAAUACACUAUUAAGGAGUGAAUAAAUGUUUAGAAUUCUAAGAGAAAUAUACACUAUAUAUUAUGUGCUUUUUUAAUUCUAGACAUAUCUUUGAGAACCGUACCUC
RNAcentral lists this long non-coding RNA (566 nucleotides) under Trifolium pratense (red clover). Its description in RNAcentral is "long non-coding RNA (TPRA_LNC012960)". The record is from RNAcentral. Lineage: Eukaryota; Viridiplantae; Streptophyta; Magnoliopsida; Fabales; Fabaceae.